AUACGUAGGUGACAAGCGUUAUCCGGAUUUACUGGGCGUAAAGGGCGUGUAGGCGGUCUUGCAAGUCAGAAGUGAAAUUCCUGAGCUCAACUCGGGCGCUGCUUCUGAAACUGCAGGACUUGAGUGCUGGAGGGGAUAGCGGAAUUCCUAGUGGAGCGGUAAAAUGCGCAGAUAUUAGGAAGAACACCGGUGGCGAAGGCGGCUAUCUGGACAGUAACUGACGCUGAGGCGCGAAAGCGUGGGGAUCAAACAGGAUUAGAUACCCUUGUAGUCCACGCCGUAAACGAUGAAUACUAGGUGUAGGGGGUAUCGACUCCCUCUGUGCCGCAGUUAACACAAUAAGUAUUCCGCCUGGGGAGUACGGCCGCAAGGUUGAAACUCAAAUGAAUUGACGGGU
Molecule: ribosomal RNA, 397 nt
Filed under: uncultured bacterium
Lineage: Bacteria
Description: partial 16S ribosomal RNA
Rfam family: Bacterial small subunit ribosomal RNA
Source: RNAcentral